Schistosoma margrebowiei is the source of this 46-nucleotide non-coding RNA. The record is from Rfam. Lineage: Eukaryota; Metazoa; Platyhelminthes; Trematoda; Strigeidida; Schistosomatidae.
GCACUACUGAGGAGUCCCAUACCAGGACGAAACGGCCGUCCAGUGC